RNAcentral lists this ribosomal RNA (424 nucleotides) under uncultured bacterium. Its description in RNAcentral is "partial 16S ribosomal RNA". It matches the Rfam family "Bacterial small subunit ribosomal RNA", at positions 354 to 796 of the family's 1533-position model. The record is from RNAcentral.
GUUAGGAAUAUUGGACAAUGGGCGCAAGCCUGAUCCAGCCAUGCCGCGUGAACGAUGAAGGCCUUCGGGUUGUAAAGUUCUUUAGCCGAUGAUUAUAAUGACUGUAGUCGGAAAAUAAGCCCCGGCUAACUUCGUGCCAGUAGCCGCGGUAAUACGAAGGGGGCGAGCGUUAUUCGGAAUCACUGGGCGUAAAGCGUGCGUAGGCGGUCUCGUAAGUUAGGAGUGAAAGCCAGGGCUCAACCUUGGAAUUGCUCUUAAUACUGCAAGGCUAGAAUCUCGGAGAGGAUAGCGGAAUUUCCAGUGUAGCAGUGAAAUGCGUAGAUAUUGGAAGGAACACCAGUGGCGUAAGCGGCUAUCUGGACGAGUAUUGACGCUGAGGCACGAAAGCGUGGGGAUCAAACAGGAUUAGAUACCCUAGUAGUCC